GGGCCCGCACAAGCGGUGGAGUAUGUGGUUUAAUUCGAUGCAACGCGAAGAACCUUACCAGGGUUUGACAUCCUGCGAAUCUCUUGGAAACAGGAGAGUGCCUUCGGGAACGCAGUGACAGGUGGUGCAUGGCUGUCGUCAGCUCGUGUCGUGAGAUGUUGGGUUAAGUCCCGCAACGAGCGCAACCCACGUCUUUAGUUGCCAGCAUUUAGUUGGGCACUCUAGAGAGACUGCCGGUGAUAAACCGGAGGAAGGUGUGGAUGACGUCAAGUCAUCAUGCCCCUUACAUCCUGGGCUACACACGUACUACAAUGGAUAGGACAAUGGGAUGCCACCCUGUGAAGGCGAGCUAACCCCAAAACCUAUUCUUAGUUCGGAUUGUAGGCUGCAACUCGCCUACAUGAAGCUGGAAUCGCUAGUAAUCGCUGGU
This 430-nucleotide ribosomal RNA is filed under the name uncultured bacterium. RNAcentral describes it as "bacterial SSU rRNA". It matches the Rfam family "Bacterial small subunit ribosomal RNA", at positions 917 to 1349 of the family's 1533-position model. The record is from RNAcentral.